Molecule: non-coding RNA, 21 nt
Filed under: Caenorhabditis elegans
Lineage: Eukaryota; Metazoa; Nematoda; Chromadorea; Rhabditida; Rhabditidae
Source: RNAcentral
UCACAUAUCGAAAUCUUUCAG